UGGGGAAUUUUGGACAAUGGGCGAAAGCCUGAUCCAGCAAUGCCGCGUGUGUGAAGAAGGCCUUCGGGUUGUAAAGCACUUUUGUCCGGAAAGAAAUCCUUGGCUCUAAUACAGUCGGGGGAUGACGGUACCGGAAGAAUAAGCACCGGCUAACUACGUGCCAGCAGCCGCGGUAAUACGUAGGGUGCAAGCGUUAAUCGGAAUUACUGGGCGUAAAGCGUGCGCAGGCGGUUUGCUAAGACCGAUGUGAAAUCCCCGGGCUCACCUGGGAACUGCAUUGGUGACUGGCAGGCUAGAGUAUGGCAGAGGGGGGUAGAAUUCCACGUGUAGCAGUGAAAUGCGUAGAGAUGUGGAGGAAUACCGAUGGCGAAGGCAGCCCCCUGGGCCAAUACUGACGCUCAUGCACGAAAGCGUGGGGAGCAAACAGGAUUAGAUACCCUGGUAGUCCACGCCCUAAACGAUGUCAACUAGUUGUUGGGGAUUCAUUUCCUUAGUAACGUAGCUAACGCGUGAAGUUGACCGCCUGGGGAGUACGGUCGCAAGAUUAAAACUUAAAUGAAUUGACGGGGUCAUAGCUGUUUCCU
Molecule: ribosomal RNA, 584 nt
Filed under: uncultured bacterium
Lineage: Bacteria
Description: partial 16S ribosomal RNA
Rfam family: Bacterial small subunit ribosomal RNA
Source: RNAcentral